AGUGAACGCUGGCGGUAUGCCUAACACAUGCAAGUCGAACGGCAGCACAGUAAGAGCUUGCUCUUACGGGUGGCGAGUGGCGGACGGGUGAGGUAUACAUCGGAAUCUACUCUUUCGUGGGGGAUAACGCAGGGAAACUUACUCUAAUACCGCAUACGACCCCCUGGUGAAAGCAGGGGAUCUUUGGACCUUGCGCGAUUGUAUGAGCCGAUGUCGGAUUAGCUAGUUGGCGGGGUAAAGGCCCACCAAGGCGACGAUCCGUAACUGGUCCGAGAGGAAGAAUCGACACCUGGGCAGAGAGGAAGGGUCCAGACACCUGCAGGGAGACGCAGUCGGGAAUAUUGGGCAAUGGGGGAGAGCCUGAUACAGCCAAACGGCGUGGGUGAAGAAGGAGUUCGGGUUGUAAAGCGAUUUUGUUGGGAGAGAAAAGCAGCAGGUUAAUACGCCGCGGUACUGACGGUACCCAAAGAAUAAGCACCGGCUAACUUCGUG
Molecule: ribosomal RNA, 492 nt
Filed under: uncultured bacterium
Lineage: Bacteria
Description: partial 16S ribosomal RNA
Rfam family: Bacterial small subunit ribosomal RNA
Source: RNAcentral